AGAGACAGCAGUCGCCGCGGUAAUACGAGGGGGGCAAGCGUUGUUCGGAAUUAUUGGGCGUAAAGGGUGCGUAGGCGGUCUGAUAAGUCUGAUGUGAAAUCUAUGGGCUCAACCCAUAGUCUGCAUCGGAAACUGUCAGGCUUGAGGAUGGGGGAGGUGAGUGGAAUUUCCGGUGUAGCGGUGAAAUGCGUAGAUAUCGGAAGGAACACCUGUGGCGAAAGCGGCUCACUGGACCAUUUCUGACGCUGAUGACGAAAGCUAGGGGAGCAAAUGGGAUUAGAGACCCCGGUAGUCCCUGUCUCUUAUACA
Molecule: ribosomal RNA, 309 nt
Filed under: uncultured bacterium
Lineage: Bacteria
Description: partial 16S ribosomal RNA
Rfam family: Bacterial small subunit ribosomal RNA
Source: RNAcentral